RNAcentral lists this ribosomal RNA (942 nucleotides) under Triticum aestivum (bread wheat). RNAcentral describes it as "partial small subunit ribosomal RNA". Lineage: Eukaryota; Viridiplantae; Streptophyta; Magnoliopsida; Poales; Poaceae. The record is from RNAcentral.
AUGAAACAAAAGCACAAACAUUUGCCCUUCAAAGGGAAGGAAAAGGGACCAUCGAAAUUGGGGGGAACCGAGCUGGAAGCAGUACCUGGUGAAGAGUGUGCCGCAGUCACAGCGAUACUCGCGGGUGCCGCAGGUCUUGGCAUGGGCCUUGAGGUCGGCCUGGACGGCGUAGCGCUUGCCGCAGCGUGGGCAGGCCCAUCGCUUCUCGCCGUGCUUGCGGCAGAAGUGCUUCUUGAUGCCCGUGAGGUCCCCGAGCGCGCGGGCGGGGGAGUGGUGCACGCAGCCGGGCUCCGGGCAGACGUAGACCCUCCGGCGCGGCGGCGCCGCCCCGGGGCCGCGCUGGCGCAGCCGCCACGGAAGGUUGUGGCCCCGGCGGUGGAGCUGCAGGUUCUGGUCCCUCUGGAAGCCCUUGCCGCACACCUCGCACACGAACCGGUUGGUCGCCAUGAGCGUCCCCGGCGACAGCGCGAUCACCUCCGCGUCCGGAUCUGCACAAGCACACGGAAACCGACCACCAUCAGACCAAGAAAGCUCGCGCGAGCCGUACCAACCACCCCGCAAAACCCGAAGCGCGCGCUCUCGCCUGGCGUCCCGGGGAGGUUCCUCUUCUUCUUGGGCGGCGCCGGCGUCGCGGCCGCCUCCGGCUGCUCCGGCUCCGUCGGAUUGGGCGGCAUCCCCGGUCGAUCUGGCGCCGCGGCCGCCGCUCCGCUCAGCUCACAGCCCUCCAGCUGCUCCUUAUCGGCGCGCAGACCCGCGUCAGCGAACGGAGCGCGCGGCGGCGGCGGAGGCGGUGGACGGAGGAUUUUUUUUUUCUCUCCCUCUCUCCUCCUUUCUUCGCUUCUUCUCUCGCUGGCUGGCUGGCUUGGCUUGUCUUGCUUUCGAUUGGGGGUUGGGGGUGUGGGGAGAUGGAUGGGAGUCAGAGCGGCCGCGGCAUCGGGAUGA